Molecule: ribosomal RNA, 340 nt
Filed under: uncultured bacterium
Lineage: Bacteria
Description: bacterial SSU rRNA
Rfam family: Bacterial small subunit ribosomal RNA
Source: RNAcentral
AUUGAACGCUGGCGGCAUGCCUUACACAUGCAAGUCGAACGGCAGCACGGGAGCAAUCCUGGUGGCGAGUGGCGAACGGGUGAGUAAUAUAUCGGAACGUGCCCAGUCUGGGGGAUAACGUAGCGAAAGCUACGCUAAUACCGCAUACUAUCUAUGGAUGAAANCGGGGGAUCGCAAGACCUCGCGCGAUUGGAGCGGCCGAUAUCAGAUUAGGUAGUUGGUGAGGUAAAGGCUCACCAAGCCGACGAUCUGUAGCUGGUCUGAGAGGACGACCAGCCACACUGGGACUGAGACACGGCCCAGACUCCUACGGGAGGCAGCAGUGGGAAUUUUGGACAAU